This 1493-nucleotide ribosomal RNA is filed under the name metagenome. Its description in RNAcentral is "bacterial LSU rRNA". It matches the Rfam family "Bacterial large subunit ribosomal RNA", at positions 1451 to 2925 of the family's 2925-position model. The record is from RNAcentral.
UAACGCGUUAUUACCGAUGGGGUGACGCAUGGAGCAGAAUUUAGCCACUGAUGGAUGUGGCGGAUUGCGCGUAAGAUGUACAGGUGGCAAAUCCCCUGUACGCAUAUCUGAGACGCAGGACCUUUUGAGGGCUUCGGCCCAAAGAAGAGCAAUUCCGGUCUGUGCCAGGAAAAACCUCUAAGGGAGUUUUAUUUGUGCCCGUACCGUAAACCGACACAGGUAGACGAGGCGAAUAGCCUAAGGUGCUCGAGACAACUCGGGAGAAGGAACUCGGCAAAUUAACCCCGUAACUUCGGGAUAAGGGGAGCCUCCAUUUGUUAGUGUGAACAGCACAAAGCAUAAGGAGGCCGCAGAGAAAUGGCAGAAGCGACUGUUUACCAAAAACACAGGGCUAUGCAAACCCGUAAGGGAAAGUAUAUAGUCUGACACGUGCCCGGUGCUGGAAGGUUAACAGGAGAUGUCAGCGCAAGCGAAGCAUUGAAUCGAAGCCCCAGUAAACGGCGGCCGUAACUAUAACGGUCCUAAGGUAGCGAAAUUCCUUGUCGGGUAAGUUCCGACCUGCACGAAUCGUGUAACGACUUCUGCACUGUCUCCUCCCGGGACUCGGCGAAAUUGCAGUGUCGGUGAAGAUGCCGACAACCCGCACCUGGACGGAAAGACCCCAUGAACCUUCACUGUAUUUUGACAUUGGUUUUAGGCUUGACAUGUGUAGGAUAGGUGGGAGGCUUUGAAGCGGUGACGCCAGUCAUCGUGGAGCCAUCCUUGAAAUACCACCCUUGUCCGGUUUGAGAUCUAACCGUGGCCCGUCAUCCGGGUCCGGGACCGUGUCUGAUGGUCAGUUUGACUGGGGCGGUCGCCUCCUAAAUGGUAACGGAGGCAUCCAAUGGUUCCCUCAGCGCGGUCGGUAAUCGCGCGUAGAGCAUAAAGGCAUAAGGGAGCUUGACUGCGAGACAGACAUGUCGAGCAGGUACGAAAGUAGGGCUUAGUGAUCCCGCGGUACAGCGUGGAACGGCCGUUGCUCAAUGGAUAAAAGGUACUCUGGGGAUAACAGGCUGAUCUCCCCCAAGCGUUCAUAGCGACGGGGAGGUUUGGCACCUCGAUGUCGGCUCGUCGCAUCCUGGGGCUGGAGAAGGUCCCAAGGGUUUGGCUGUUCGCCAAUUAAAGCGGCACGCGAGCUGGGUUCAGAACGUCGUGAGACAGUUCGGUCCCUAUCCGGUGUGGGCGCACGAAAUUUGAGGGAACCUGUCCUUAGUACGAGAGGACCGGGACGGACGCACCUCUGGUGUACCGGCUGUCACGCCAGUGGCAUUGCCGGGUAGCUAUGUGCGGAUUGGAGAAACGCUGAAAGCAUCUAAGCGUGAAGCCAUUCCCAAGAUUAGAUUUCGCGGGGGCAACCCCCUAAAGGAUCGUUAGAGACCAUAACGUUGAUAGGUCACAGGUGUAAGCAUAGCGAUAUGUUGAGCCGAGUGAUACUAAUAGUCCGUGAGGCUUCU